UUGCUCACCUGGGCAGCACAUAUACUAACGUUGCAGUGGUGCAGAGAAGAGGAGCCUGGCCCCUCUGCAAGGAUGACACCCAAAUUCAUGCAGCGUUCCAUAUUACU
Molecule: small nuclear RNA, 107 nt
Organism: Fukomys damarensis (Damara mole-rat)
Lineage: Eukaryota; Metazoa; Chordata; Mammalia; Rodentia; Bathyergidae
Source: Ensembl